Molecule: ribosomal RNA, 197 nt
Filed under: uncultured bacterium
Lineage: Bacteria
Description: partial 16S ribosomal RNA
Rfam family: Bacterial small subunit ribosomal RNA
Source: RNAcentral
ACGCUCGACACCUACGGGAAGCAGCAGUGGGGAAUAUUGCACAAUGGGGGAAACCCUGAUGCAGCGACGCCGCGUGGAGGAAGAAGGUCUUCGGAUUGUAAACUCCUGUUGUUGGGGAAAAGAGGAUGGUACCCAACAAGGAAGUGACGGCUAACUACGUGCCAGCAGCCGCGGUAAUCUGAGCGGGCUGGCAAGGC